RNAcentral lists this transfer RNA (64 nucleotides) under Pachygrapsus crassipes. Its description in RNAcentral is "tRNA-Tyr". It matches the Rfam family "tRNA". From Rfam's summary of the family: Transfer RNA (tRNA) molecules are approximately 80 nucleotides in length. Their secondary structure includes four short double-helical elements and three loops (D, anti-codon, and T loops). The record is from RNAcentral. Lineage: Eukaryota; Metazoa; Arthropoda; Malacostraca; Decapoda; Grapsidae.
GAUAAAGUGGCUGAGGUAAAGCGGUAGAUUGUAAAUCUAUAAACGAGUAAAAACUCCUUUAUCA